This 348-nucleotide long non-coding RNA is filed under the name Mytilus galloprovincialis (Mediterranean mussel). The record is from RNAcentral. Lineage: Eukaryota; Metazoa; Mollusca; Bivalvia; Mytilida; Mytilidae.
CCCUAAGUGAAGUUUCAUUUAUUUGUCAGAGUAGGUUUUCUCGCUACAUUGAAGACCCAUUGGUGGCCUUCGGCUGUUGUCUGCUCUAUGGUCGGGUUGUUGUCGCUUUGACACAUUCCCCAUUUCCUUUCUCAAUUUUAUUUACAUUUUUCUAAAUGCUAAUUGAAUGAAUUAGUGGUGUGACACCAUACUGAGGAACCGUUUUACUCAAGUAAAAAAUGGAGCACAUGAGUUAUCCUUUACGAUAUUAUUUUCGUUGCAAUUUAAGAAAUGACUUUGAAAAAAAAAUAUAUAAUACAAUUCAAUUACUAAUACGUAACACUCUGUCAACAUGCAGUUUUCAUAAAC